GAGACACGGUCUCCCUAUGUUGCCUAGGCUAGUGUCUUAUUUCUGGGCUCAAGCGAUCCUCCCGCCUCAGCCUCCCAGAGAGUUGGUAUUAUAGGCAUGAGCCACUGUGCUGGCUUGCACCUAGAUUCUUAAAGAGAACAUUACUAGAACAUUACCGGAAGCCCCUUGUGCACUGUCCCCUGUGGGCCACUUCUCCCACCCCAUUCCUGUCUUUUAAUACUAGAGAUCAGUUGUGCUUGUUUUUGAAAUUUAUGUGAGUGGAGUAUACUAUGUAUACAGUACACAGUAAAUACUGUAUGUACCACUGCCUAUAUACAGUAUACUCCACAGUGAGUGAAACAAGCCAGACUCAGAAGCAUACAUACUGUAUGUACCACUUUGCUUAGUAGCCACAGUGUAUGCACCAUGGUACAUGCAUAUACUUCUGAAUCUGGCUUGUUUCACUCAUGGUUAGGUGUGCAGGAUUCAUCCAUGUUGUUGUGUGCAGUUCUUGCUUAUUUUACCAGUCUGUCUUAUCCUGAGAAUAUCUUUGACAUUCAACUCUGCAUGCAGACCCUUCCUUACACGUUCUAGAGAGAGGACCUGUCUUCACCCUGUGUUUAUUACCCACAUACUUGAACAGCUGUUUCCUCCAGGCAUCAUUAUGCAAAAGGAAUGAAACCCGGUGUGUGCAGCUUUUUUAGAGGACGUAAAAGGAGUCAGCUCUUGCCUCUCAUCAAUAGUAUUGUUUAUCAGUCAUUUCUCUUUUGAGGCAUUGGUUGAAUAAAUGGGAAAAUUCCUGCUUUCAAGGAACUUAGCAGACUUGUUGACAGAUAAGACCAUAAGAAGAAAGCCAGUGAAGUACCCAGUGAUGUGAACGCCAUGGUAUGAGCAAGUACAUAAUAGAGACCACAAGUGCUUUUUAGAAGUUAGAGAUAGUCAUUCUCUGGGGCUUCCUCAGGAAAAUCCUCGCUGAAUCUGGGAUCUAAACUGGGCCUUAUGAUUCUUGGAUAUAAGGUUUGUUGUAUAGGUUGAUACAAGUUACUUAUUAAUAGUUGUUUGCCCCCCUCCCUUUCACUAUCUUUAGGUGAUGAUGUCCACACCUUUCCACAUCUCCUCAGGAGCUGGUGAUUCCCAGAUACUAUUUGUUAACCUGCAUCACCACUCCCAUGCACACGAACACAGGACAAACAAAUCCAGCUGCUUCCUGGCAUCUCUACUUGAACAACUUAAAGGCAAUUCAGAUCCCACAGGGUGAAAAGCUGAAUUCAUCUAUCAGAGUGUUUUCUAAAAUCCCAAGUAGAUUAUGUCCCAUUCCUGCUUAAAAUGAUCUCCUGAUUCUCAUUGCCUUUUGGAUAAAAUCCAAUCCUGAGUAUCAACAAGGGGCUUGUGAUUUGGUCCUUUUCUGUGUCAUUCUUUAGAAUUUCUGGAAGCAGCCUAUCAUCGCUCCGUCUGCCCUCCAUACACAGCGUUUGUGUGUGUUAUGCCAAACUGCUUGGUGUUUUCCAACCGUGGACCAUGAUAUCUCACUUCCUUAACCUUACCUUCAUAUGCUUUUCCUUUGUGUCUUCUUCUGAAAUGCUUCUUCCUUUUGUCCAGGCUGACUCCUGUUUGUCUGAGACUUGUGUCUCAGGAAGCCUUUCCGUUCCCCUCCAGUCAUUCAUACCUCUGUCAUAACACAUAGACUGUAUUUUUAAUUUGAUUUCCAAUCUGUCUCUUUUAGGUUGUCACCUUUUUUGAGGGCAAGACCUUUUUGUUUCAUGGCUUUAGUUUGCUGUGUUUGUUACAGUGCCUGGCAUUUGGUAGGGGUUGAGUAAAUGUAUACAGAAUAAAUGAAGCCUGGGAGAAGGAGUUCCAGUUAAGAGUUCUAAUAAAUAACUGUUUUUUCAAAAUCUUGGGGCUUUCAUCUUGUGUGUUGAAUGUUACUGGAUUAGGGGAAAGUUGUCUUUAUGAAGUGGGCCCUUUAAACUAGUAUUCCUGUUUUUCUGUUAUAGUUCCCUACUCCCCGCCCCACACCCCCUCUAAAAAAAAAGUACUAGAAGUUACACACAGAACUGUAGCCUUGGAGGCUGUAGGCAGUGCAUUUAAAGUACUUCUGGAGUGGUUUUGAGCUUCAGAGCAUUGACACACUUCCCUAAAUAACUGUGACAAUUCUUUCUAUUUGCUGUUGCCCAUCGGUGAUUUCAGUGGCCAGUAGUCAUACUGGAAAGUCUGAUAAUAAAGCAGGGGAUCAGUCAUGUGGUACCAAACCAGUUGUGGGGAAUGUUAGAUGUGUUAAGAUGUGAUUAGCAACGACAUUCCUGUUUGUAAACUGGCAUCUAUGGCGGUUUAAAAAUGGUGGCAAAACCAUUUUGAGUAUUGUUGGAAAUGUUAUCUGUUCUGCCGUGUUAAUAUACCUAUAAGUUGGUAGUUGCAUCUUGUACCCUUGAUAGUCAUACUUUGUACAUUGUGUAUGCCACUCUUCUGUUGAGUAAUUUGGAUUAAUUACUUUGGAGAUUGAAGUCUUGACUCAUUCACUUCACUCAUUUAUUUAGCUGUAUUUUCAGUUCCAUGCAAUGAGUGACACAGACUGUGCUGCCAAAAAGGAAUUCUCAGUAAGGGCAAUGCACAUAAAUUACUGUGUUACUCAGAAAUCAUGAAUAGUUGAGAUCACAAGCGGAGAGAUGGAACCAGGUCUUAUAAUCAGUAAACCAAUAUUCCAGUAAAAAGCCUGCAAAGAAUGCAAAUAAGUAAUAAAAUAACUACAAAUUAAGUCAGUAAAUAUGAGAAAUGUAUAGCCUACCCAUUACUCAAAGGAAUACAAAUGUAUGUGUGGAUGAGUCAGUAUCACUUUUAUAGUUGGAAGAAAGCAGUUUUCCUAAUAGGAAAUUUUUAGAAUUAAUCUGGUUUGGAAUAUUUAAGUGACAAUGUGUUUUUACAUUAAGGGAUUAAAAUUUUUAUCAGGCACACUACUAACUUAGUAUUAAAACAGCUGUUAAGAUUGGAAAGUAUCUGAAUGUAUUCUUUAAAAUAUAUUGUAUUUGUAAAUUUAAAAUUGUUUCGUACUCUUCAUAUAUAAGACAUUUUGUGUGAUGUUCUAAAUCAGUGCUAUCCAAAAGAAAUAUAUUGUAAGCCACAUGUAAUUUUAACUUUCUAGUAGUCACAGGAAGAAAGUAAAUUAAGCAGGUGAAAUUAAUUUUAAGAAUAUGUUUUAUCGAACCAAUUAUAUCCAGAAUGUUUUUUUUAACAUGUAACCAGUAUUACAGUGAGAUAGUUUACAUUCUUUUUUUCAAAGACAGUCUUCAAAAUCUAGUGUACAUUUUAGGGUUACAGCAAAGUUUAGUUCAGACUAACCACAUUUCAAGUGCUCAGUAGCCACCUUUGGCUAGUGGGUACCAUAUUGAAGAAGAGGAUGAGUAGUUGGGAGUGAGGGCUUUGAUGUCAGACCCAAGUUUGAGUAACAGCAGCUCUGCCAUUUGCUCACCUUGUGACCUUGGGUAUGUUACAUGAACUUGUGCUUUUGUUUUUCAUUUAUAAGAUUUUGUUUUCACUGUAUGCGUUGCUGGCUUUAUUUCCAGUUUCUUCUCUAGUUAAAAUAUGGAGGAAGUCACAGGACAUCCAGUUUGUUCUUGGGUACUAUGGGACAAAAUAUAUGACAGUAAACUAUCAGCUCAUCUUGGCAAGUACUUUUGGUGUGGACCACUGAAGCAUAUUUGUAGGAAGGGAGUUACAUUUUGGUGCUCAGGAUGGGAGUGAUGAUAGUUUCAAAGAUUUCUAUUUUGGAAGAGG
Molecule: long non-coding RNA, 3747 nt
Filed under: Homo sapiens (human)
Lineage: Eukaryota; Metazoa; Chordata; Mammalia; Primates; Hominidae
Description: HSALNT0312477
Source: RNAcentral